AUUCCAGCUCCAAUAGCGUAUAUUAAUGUUGUUGCAGUUAAAAAGCUCGUAGUUGGAUCUCUAACGCACGCGGCCGGUCCGCCCCUCACGGGGUGUGCACUGCGCCGUCGUGCGUUAUCCUGGGGGAGAGCGUCCCGCGCAUUAGGUUGUGUGGGUCGGGAUCCUCCACGUUUACUCAAAAUAAAUAAGAGUGUUCAAAGCAGGCGAUUGCUGUGAAUUCUUCAGUUGGGAAUAAUAAGAUAGGACUCGGGGACUAUUUUGUUGGUUUGCAUCUCCGAGUAAUGAUUAAUAGGGACAGUUGGAGAUAUUCAUAUUCAGUUGUCAGAGGUGAAAUUCUUGGAUUUACGGAAGAUGAACUACUGCGAAAGCAUUUAUCGAGGAUGUUUUCAUCG
RNAcentral lists this ribosomal RNA (392 nucleotides) under Labyrinthulaceae sp. RNAcentral describes it as "partial small subunit ribosomal RNA". It matches the Rfam family "Eukaryotic small subunit ribosomal RNA", at positions 582 to 975 of the family's 1831-position model. The record is from RNAcentral. Lineage: Eukaryota; Bigyra; Labyrinthulida; Labyrinthulaceae.